RNAcentral lists this ribosomal RNA (497 nucleotides) under uncultured bacterium. RNAcentral's name for it is "partial 16S ribosomal RNA". It matches the Rfam family "Bacterial small subunit ribosomal RNA", at positions 28 to 507 of the family's 1533-position model. The record is from RNAcentral.
GAUGAACGCUGGCGGCGUGCCUAACACAUGCAAGUCGAGCGAACGGCCGAGGAGCUUGCUCCCCUCAUGUUAGUGGCGGACGGGUGAGUAACACGUGGAUAACCUGCCUAUAACACUGGGAUAACCUCGGGAAACGGGAGCUAAUACCGGAUGCUAUUCGGAACGGCAUGGUUCACGAGUGAAAGACGGUCUUGCUGUCACUUAUCGAUGGAUCCGCGCUGCUUUGGCUAGUUGGUAAGGUAACGACUUACCAAGGCAACGAUGGAUAGCCGACCUGGGAGAGGGGUCGGCCACACGGGAGCGGGGACACGGUCCAGACUCCUGCGAGAGGCAGCAGUAGCGAAUGUGAGGCAGUGGGGGGAAGCAUGGCGCAGCGGCGCCGCGUGAGAUGUAGAGAUGUCGGGAUCGUGAAGCUGUGUUAUGAGGGAAAAACAUAUGUUAGAGGAGAAGUAGAGAUCUUGACGGUACCUAAAGAGAAAGCCACGGCUAACUACGUG